RNAcentral lists this long non-coding RNA (632 nucleotides) under Actinidia chinensis (golden kiwifruit). RNAcentral describes it as "long non-coding RNA (ACHI_LNC001367)". Lineage: Eukaryota; Viridiplantae; Streptophyta; Magnoliopsida; Ericales; Actinidiaceae. The record is from RNAcentral.
CCACAUAUGAAGCUUAGAAAAUGAGUUUGGAAGAAUUACAAAUAAAUAAAUUUAGUUGUUUACUAUAUUUUGAACCAUAAAUAUUUAGUUAGUAAAAUUUUACUAUUUCCACCGUCAUUGCUGGCAUAGACAAUAAAAUAUUUACUGUUUGUUGUAUUCUACCAUUGAAUUUUACUGUGCCAAACAUAUCGCCGGAAAAGUCAUCGGUGAUUGUCGAAAAAGUUGCCAAUGACCGGUUGGAAAAAGUCAUCGCUAGCUGCCAGAAGUGGUGGCCGAUUAAGUUGGUGAAGUGUAGCCAGAAAUGAAAAGAGGUAUGGAAAAUAACAAAGGUAUUUUGUCCAAUUUGACCGAAUGGAGUUUUGACAAAAAGAUUUUGCUUGUUUUAGAAUCGGAUAAAAUGAAUCUUUCAUUAAAGUCCUUUUUUAUUAUUUAUUCAAAUAUUAGAAACGAGCCCGCUUGAACAGUAGGUGUAAGAAUCAAUUUUGAAGGGGUGAAUGAAAUUAUUUUCAUUUUAAAGCGAGAUAAUCUCUAUUGAGAACUUUCUUGAAGCUGCCGCUUUGGACCAUGAAAGCAGCACCGGCCAUCACGAUCAGAAUCCAAGUUGAUAUUGACUCGUGAGUCCGUGAAGAAAU